RNAcentral lists this ribosomal RNA (403 nucleotides) under Fusobacteriota bacterium. Its description in RNAcentral is "Fusobacteria bacterium partial 16S ribosomal RNA". It matches the Rfam family "Bacterial small subunit ribosomal RNA", at positions 355 to 776 of the family's 1533-position model. The record is from RNAcentral. Lineage: Bacteria; Fusobacteriati; Fusobacteriota.
UGGGGAAUAUUGCACAAUGGAGGGAACUCUGAUGCAGCGACGCCGCGUGAACGAAGAAGGCUUUCGAGUCGUAAAGUUCUUUUAUAUGGGAAGAUAAUGACGGUACCAUAAGAAAAAGCCCCGGCUAACUACGUGCCAGCAGCCGCGGUAAUACGUAGGGGGCUAGCGUUGUCCGGAAUCACUGGGCGUAAAGGGUUCGCAGGCGGAAAUGCAAGUCAGGUGUAAAAGGCAGUAGCUUAACUACUGUAAGCAUUUGAAACUGCAUAUCUUGAGAAGAGUAGAGGUAAGUGGAAUUUUUAGUGUAGCGGUGAAACGCGUAGAUAUUAAAAAGAAUACCGGUGGCGAAGGCGACUUACUGGGCUCAUUCUGACGCUGAGGAACGAAAGCGUGGGUAGCAAACAGG